GACGAACGCUGGCGGCGUGCCUAAUACAUGCAAGUAGAACGCACAGUUUAUACCGUAGCUUGCUACACCAUAGACUGUGAGUUGCGAACGGGUGAGUAACGCGUAGGUAACCUGCCUGGUAGCGGGGGAUAACUAUUGGAAACGAUAGCUAAUACCGCAUAAUAUUGAUUAUUGCAUGAUAAUUGAUUGAAAGAUGCUAUUGCAUCACUACCAGAUGGACCUGCGUUGUAUUAGCUAGUAGGUGAGGUAACGGCUCACCUAGGCGACGAUACAUAGCCAACCUGAGAGGGUGAUCGGCCACACUGGGACUGAGACACGGCCCAGACUCCUACGGGAGGCAGCAGUAGGGAAUCUUCGGCAAUGGACGAAAGUCUGACCGAGCAACGCCGCGUGAGUGAAGAAGGUUUUCGGAUCGUAAAGCUCUGUUGUAAGAGAAGAACGGGUGUGAGAGUGGAAAGUUCACACUGUGACGGUAUCUGACCAGAAAGGGACGGCUAACUACGUG
RNAcentral lists this ribosomal RNA (505 nucleotides) under uncultured bacterium. Its description in RNAcentral is "partial 16S ribosomal RNA". It matches the Rfam family "Bacterial small subunit ribosomal RNA", at positions 28 to 507 of the family's 1533-position model. The record is from RNAcentral.